GGACGGGGCUGGGAUCCAGGACCUGCUGCGGGCAUUGGAAGUGUUUUGGGUGCCAGCCCCGUUGCGG
Gallus gallus (chicken) is the source of this 67-nucleotide microRNA precursor. Lineage: Eukaryota; Metazoa; Chordata; Aves; Galliformes; Phasianidae. The record is from Ensembl.